Orcinus orca (killer whale) is the source of this 4701-nucleotide long non-coding RNA. RefSeq lists it as uncharacterized. The transcript has 3 exons. The record is from RefSeq and is a predicted model, not a curated record. Lineage: Eukaryota; Metazoa; Chordata; Mammalia; Artiodactyla; Delphinidae.
CCAAUUUUGUUUAUCUUCUCAAAGUACCAGCUUUUAGUUUUAUUGAUCUUGCCUAUUGUUUUCUUUGUUUCUAUUUCAUUUAUUUCUGCUCUGAUCUUUAUGAUUUCUUUACUUUUGCUAACUUUGGGUUUUGUUUGUUCUUCUUUCUGUAGUUCCUUUAGGUGUAACGUUCAAUUAUUUAUUUUAGAUGUUUCUUGUUUCCUGAGGUAGGCUUGUAUAGCUAUAAACUUCCCUCUUAGAACUGCUUUUGUUGCAUCCCAUAGGUUUUGGGUUGUCAUGUUUCAUUGUCAUUUGUCUCUAGGUAUUUUUUUGAUUUCCUCUGAUUUCUUCAGUGAUCUCUUGGUUAUUUAGUAAUGCACUGUUCGGCCUCCAUGUGUUUGUGUUUUUUAUGUUUUUUUCCCCCUGUAAUUGAUAUCUAAUCUCAUAGCGCUGUGGUCAGAAAAGAUGCUUGAUACGAUUUCAAUUUUCUUAAAUUUACUGAGGCUUGAUUUGUGGCCCAAGAUAUGAUCUAUCCUGGAGAGUGUUCCUUGUGCACUUGAGAAGAAAGUGUAAUCUGCUGUUUUAGGAUAGAAUGCCCUAUAAAUAUCAAUUAAAUCUACCUGGUCUGUUGUGUCAUUUAAAGCUUGUGUUUCCUUAUUAAUUUUCUGUCCACUGGUGUAAGUGAGGUGUUAAAAGUCACCCACUAUUACUGUGUUACUGUCGAUUUCCUCUUUUAUAGCUGUUAGCAUUUGCGUUAUGUAUUGAGGUGCUCCUGUGUUGGGUGCAUAUAUAAUUGUUAUGUUUUCUUCUUGGAUUGAUCCCUUGAUCAUUAUGUAGUGUCCUUCCUUGUCUCUUGUAACAUUCUUUAUUUGGAAGUCUAUUUUAUCUGAUAUGAGUAUAGCUACUCCAGCUUUCUUUUGAUGUCCGUUUGCCUGGAAUAUCUUUUUCCAUCCCCUCACUUUGUCUUUAUGUGUCCCUAGGUCUGAAGUGGGCCUCUUGUAGACAGCAUAUAUAUGGGUCUUGUUUUUGUAUCUAUUCAGCGAGCCUGUGUCUUUUGGUUGGAGCAAUUAAUCCAUUCACACUUAAGGUAAUUAUCGAUACGUAUGUUCCUAUUACCAUUUUCUUCAUUGUUUUGGGUUUGUUUUUGUAGGUCCGUUUCUUCUCUUGUGUUUCCCACUUAGAGAAGUUCCUUUAGCAUUUGUUGUGGAGCUGGUUUGGUGGUGCUGAAUUCUUUUAGCUUUUGCUUGUUUGUAAAGCUUCUGAUUUCUCCGUCAAGUUUGAAUGAAAUCUUUGCUGAUCUUGGUUGUAGGUUCUUCCCUUUCAUCACUUUAAAUGUAUCCUGCCACUCCCUUCUGGUUUGUAGAGUUUCUGCUGAGAAAUCAGGGGGUAACCUUAUGGGACUCCUCUUGUAUGUUGUCAUUUUCCCCUUGUUGCUUUUAAUAAUUUUUCUUUAAUUCUUGUCAGUCUGAUUACUGUGUGUCUCAGCAUGUUUCUCUUUGGGUUUGUCCUGCCUGGGACUCUGCGCUUCCUGGACUUGGGUGGCUGUUUCCUUUCCCAAGUUAGGGAAGUUUUUGACUAUAAUCUCUUCAAAUCCCUCUCCCUCUCCCUCUCCCCCUCUCCCCCUCUCUCCCUCUUCUCCCUCUCUCCCCUCCUCCUCUGGGACCCCUAUAAUGCGAAUAUUGGUACAUUUAAUAUUGUCCUAGAGGUUUCUCACGCGGUCAUUUCUUCUCAUUCUUUUUUCUCUAUUCUGUUCUGCGGCAGUGUUUUCCACCAUUCUGUCUUCCAGGUCACUUAUCCUUUCUUCUGCCUCAGUUAUUCUGCUGUUGAUUCCUUCUAGUGUAGUUUUCAGUUAUUGUACUGUUCAUCUCUGUUUGUUUGUUCUUUAAUUCUUCUAGGUCUUUGUUAAACAUUUCUUGCAUCUUCUUGAUCUUUGCCUCCAUUCUUUUUCCGAGGUCCUGGAUCAUCUUCACUAUCAUUAUUCUGAAUUCUUUUUCUGAAAGGUUGCCUAUCUCCACUUCAUUUAGCUGUUUUCUGGGGUUUUGUCUUGUUCCUUCAUCUGGUACAUAGCCCUCUGCCUUUUCAUCUUGUCUGUCUUUCUGUGAAUGUGGUUUUUGUUCCACAGGCUGCAGGAUUGUAGUUCUUCUUACUUCUGCCGUCUGCCCUCUGGUGGGUGAGGCUAUCUAAGAGGCUUUUGCCAGCUUCCUGAUGGGAGGGACUGGUGGUGGGUAGAGCUGGGUGUUGCCCUGGUGGGCAGAGCUCAGUAAAACUUUAAUACCCCUGUCUGCUGAUGGGUGGGGCUGGGUUCCCUCGCUUUUGGUUGAUUGGCCUGAGGUGACCCAGCACUGGAGCCUAGGCUCUUCGGUGGGGCUAAUGGUGGACUCUGGGAGGGCUCAUGCCAAGGAGUACUUCCCAGAACUUCUGCCGCCAGUGUCCUUGUCCCCACAGUGAGCCACAGCCACCCCCCGCCUCUGCAGGAGACCCUCCAACACUAGCAGGUAGGUCUGGUUCAGUCUCCCCCAGGGUCACUGCUCCUUCCCCUGGGUCCCGAUGCGCACACUACUUUGUGUGAGCCCUCCACGAGUGGAGUCUCUGUUUCCCCCAGUCCUGUUGAAGUCCUGCAAUCAAAUUCCGCGAACCUUCGAAGUCUGAUUCUCUGAGAAAUCCUCCUCCUGGUGCUGGACCCCCAGGUUGGGAAGCCUGAUGUGGGGCUCAGAACCUUCACUCCAGUGGGUGGACUUCUGUGGUCUAAGUGUUCUCCAGUUGGUGAAACGGUUGCCUCUGGCGGUCUUGAAGAGGUGUCUUUAUGUGGGACGCGCCCCUGGUACAGUUUGUGUGUGUCCAGUGGCUUUGGUGGGGGAGCUGAAUUUGACUGGAACCUAAGCCAUGUACUCUCUCACCGUGUGCUUAGCAGCUGUCAACUUGCUGGAAAGUCCUCGUGGUUGGCCUCUCAUACAGUGCACGUCUGUGCCUUGCCCAGGGAUCUGCAAAUAGUAGUUCCACACAGGAGCUCUACAAGUUCCUGACAACCAUGAGUCAGAGGAGAUCAUCUGAGCCAUGUCAUGGAGAAGGCAGAGUAGGGCCCUCUGAGAAUCAGUACCUCCACUGAAGCUACCAACAAGCUGGCAGAAUAAUGGCAGAACCAACGUCUUUGGAAUGCUGGAUUCAGAUCAGAUACUUACAGAAACCAGGGGAAGAUGCUGGGAAAACUCGGUGAGUGCAGUACCACUGUUCUGUGCUUGCCUGCCACCCCAGCUCCCAGCUGCCAGCAGAGACCAUGCCCCUAGUGUGGGUUGCCGGUUCUGGGCACAAGGGGUGGGGUGGCCAUAGGGACCUUGCUCUUCUAAAUGCACAAAUGUCGUUGUGCAUUUGACCUGUCUGGUAGUGACCUGAGGGGCCGGCACAGAGCCUUCCCUUGCUUUGCUCUUUCAGCUCCAGCCACUUCCAGGAGGCACGAAUCAAAAGCAUUUAAAGACUACCCAUGCUAUCCACGGGCAGCUGGGGCGAGCAGCAGACGGAACAACAACCUAGACGGGAGGAGGCUACGGAGGAGGGUCCUUGGGGGAACGAGGGCUUCAAAGGCUGCCUAGUGCAUUUGCACGCCAAACCCUGACACGAGCUCAGAAGAGAACUGACAACACUGACACUUACACCACUCCUUGGGCUCCAAGGUGAAAGCUGGAGUGGAGUCGCAGGCAGCCUGGCUGAGCACUGAAGGAGCAGCCCAAAACCAACCUGCAAAGUGUGGGAGGAGAUCUUUUUGGUGCUGGGUGUUUAAGGAAAUCUCGUAACUAUAUAAAUAAAUCUUGGUGUGUUACUCCUCUUUUUAUUUAUAUGAUUUAAAAGACAAGUGCAUAAAACUAAUUAUAAAUCUAAUGUUAAUGGGGAUACAGUAUUCUAAGAUGUAACUUGUGAUGGCAACAAUAACAGCAUCAAGUGGGAGAGAGGACAGAGCUGUACAGGAGCAGGGUUUUUGCGAAGCUGUUGGAACCAGUAUCAAUUCAAACUAUAUUGUUAUCAAUUCAGGAUGUUAAUUAUAGUCAUCAGAAUAACCACUAAGAAAAAACUUAAAAACACACAGAAAAGGAAAGAAGGUGGGAAUUGAAAUGAUACAUUAGCAAAACCAAAUCAAACACAAAAGGAAACAGUUUUGGAAAAAAUUGGGGGGAAAAGAUGAAACUCGUAGAAAACAAAUGGAAAUAAGAUAGAAAUAGGUACUCCCUAAUUUAGAAGUUGCUUUAUAUUUAAGCAGAUUAAAUUCACCAGAGGUACUGGCAACAUGGAUUAUAAAAGCAUAAGCCAAUUAUAUACUAUCUACAAGCGACUCAUUUUAGAGCCAAAGUCACAAACAGAUUGAAAGUACGGAAACAUGUUUUCCACGCAUUAAUAACCAGUAGAAAGCUGGCAUGAUAUGUAUAUAGCUGAUUCACUGUUAUACAGCAGAAACUAACAAACACACCAUUGUAAAGCAAUUAUACUCUAAUAAAGAUGUUUAAAAAACUAAUAAAAUAAAAUGAAAACAAAACAAAAAAAGAAAGCUGGCAUGGCUACUAGUAUCAGGAAAUAGACUCUUAAGUCACAACCUGUUACAGGAGACCAAAAAGGGGCAUUAUAUACUGAUAAAGUCAAUCCAUUAAAAAGACAUCGCAAUUAUAAAGAUGCACACACCAAACAGCAGGACCCACCCCCACCCAAAUCCAGGAAGCAAAGCUUGACAGAACUGAA